AACAAGGUUUCCGUAGGUGAACCUGCGGAAGGAUCAUUAUU
This 41-nucleotide ribosomal RNA is filed under the name Rhizoctonia solani. RNAcentral describes it as "partial 18S ribosomal RNA". Lineage: Eukaryota; Fungi; Basidiomycota; Agaricomycetes; Cantharellales; Ceratobasidiaceae. The record is from RNAcentral.